RNAcentral lists this ribosomal RNA (375 nucleotides) under Melanophidium punctatum. RNAcentral describes it as "partial small subunit ribosomal RNA". The record is from RNAcentral. Lineage: Eukaryota; Metazoa; Chordata; Lepidosauria; Squamata; Uropeltidae.
GCCUGGCCGUAACACAGCAACAUGCUCGCCAAAUAACUACGAGUGAAAACUUAAAAUUUAAAGGACUUGACGGUACUUCACACCCAACCUAGAGGAGCCUGUCUACUAACCGAUAACCCACGAUUAACCCAACCACUCCAAGCCACUCAGUCUAUAUACCGCCGUCGCCAGCCUACCUUGUAAGAGAAAAAGAGUACGCUAAACAGUCCCACACUAACACGACAGGUCAAGGUGUAACUUAUGAAGUGGACCAAGAUGGGCUACAUUAUCUAACACAGAUUAUACGGAUAAAACUGUGAAAUCAGUUUUUAAAGGAGGAUUUAGCAGUAAGCUGAGGACACCCUGCUCAACUGAAACCAAUGCAAUGAAGUGCGU